AUUAAUUAUAUUAUUUCUAACGGAAAAACAUGUAGGUUUCGCUCGCUCAUUGGCUCUUACGAUUAUGACGUAACAAUCAUAAUACGCGUAACGUAACAAGGAGCAAUGAAAUAAUUACUUUUAAACGAAGUUGUUGUUGUUGUCAAUGAAAAUUAAGAGAAAUCGUUAAUUAAAUCGUAAAAAUGUAUCAAAACUUAUUUUUUUACGUGCAUAUAAAUAAAUGAGAGAGAGAAUUGUACAAGUCUGCGGCGUUUUUGAUCGCAUGUUUGUGAGUUUUAAACUGUACAUUUUGCAAAAUCGCCUCAAUACUUUUCAUCGAACACCUCUUGCGGUAACAUCAAAUGGAAUUAACUCGAAAAUGUUAUCAUUAAACAGAUCGGGAGAUCGGCGACUACAAAAUUAUCGACAGAAGAUGGAAUCGCUUCCACAUUCGCCUCAUUAAGCAAAAUCUCGUGACAGUUCCCCUCCAGCCCCUUUGUCGCCCCGUUCAUCGACUUGGUAUUGGAAUUUACAUCUGCUAUUUGUGGGAUGAAACACAACAGAAAGGGGGAGAGCAAAGGGGAUGCUGUGUUUCAGAGAUAAGGGAAAAGAGAGAGAGAGAACCAUACCAAGAAUCGACUCUGUCCUGAUUUUUUCCCUCUAUUUUUUUUUUUCCUCUCCCUUCUUGAUUUCUUGGCAUGGGUUGAAUCAGUCCUUCUGUCAAGUAUCACUCUUUCAAAUAUAAUAUAAUUUCUACGCGGGUAUUGCAUUAAGAUUUCGAAAACUUUACAGAAUUACAAAACCCACUUUAAGUUGUUUACGACGUUUUAAAAUUUUCUGAUGAUUGAUUCGCACCUAAUGUAAUGUGUCGAGAUUGUUGCGAGUGGAUUGUUUUCGAAAUACGUAAAUUUUAUAUUACUGCCUGCGGAGAAAAGUGAAUGUGUAAACAGUAUUUAUCGUCACUAAUUCCUUUCUAGAUAAGUGAAAAUGCGUCUUAAUUAUCUUGGCUUCCUUUAAACACGUUCCGAAUCUGAUAAUUGAUGCCGUUCUAAAGCGAUAAUUAAUU
Molecule: long non-coding RNA, 1045 nt
Filed under: Androctonus crassicauda
Lineage: Eukaryota; Metazoa; Arthropoda; Arachnida; Scorpiones; Buthidae
Source: RNAcentral